GAAACCCCAAAAAAAGAACGUGAAAAAGAAAACUCUCCCCUUUUUUUUCAUAUCACAAACUUCAAAAAAAAUAAAAAUAAGCAAAACAAAUAAACAAAUAAAUAAAAAUAAAAUCUAACCUUUUAAAAUAAGAACAAAGCUAAGUCAAAAUAAUUGCCUCAAAGCACACUUGAGGACUUGAACCCAAGACCCCCAUGCUAAACUAACCCACCAG
This 214-nucleotide long non-coding RNA is filed under the name Gossypium raimondii (Peruvian cotton). RNAcentral describes it as "long non-coding RNA (GRAI_LNC006632)". The record is from RNAcentral. Lineage: Eukaryota; Viridiplantae; Streptophyta; Magnoliopsida; Malvales; Malvaceae.